AAAAUCUCAAAUUGUUUUGAAUGGUUGUUUGGGUUAAACUUGUGAAAAGCUCAAGUUUUAGUUUAGUGAAAAUAUCAAUAGGAAGCUUUUAGGGACUGUAGUAGGUCAAGUGGUUAGGCCAAACCAAGAUAAUUCUCUAGUGUGAUCUUUCUAUCCCUUAAUUUCUUUAUUUAUGUAAGUUAUUUUUCAACUAUUUUUUUUAUCUUUCUCUUGUUUCUUUUAGUAUCUCAC
RNAcentral lists this long non-coding RNA (231 nucleotides) under Lathyrus oleraceus (garden pea). RNAcentral describes it as "Pisum sativum (pea) long non-coding RNA (PSAT_LNC028726)". Lineage: Eukaryota; Viridiplantae; Streptophyta; Magnoliopsida; Fabales; Fabaceae. The record is from RNAcentral.